RNAcentral lists this ribosomal RNA (429 nucleotides) under Bacteroidota bacterium. RNAcentral's name for it is "Bacteroidetes bacterium partial 16S ribosomal RNA". It matches the Rfam family "Bacterial small subunit ribosomal RNA", at positions 355 to 776 of the family's 1533-position model. The record is from RNAcentral. Lineage: Bacteria; Pseudomonadati; Bacteroidota.
UAGGGAAUCUUCGGCAAUGGGGGGAACCCUGACCGAGCAACGCCGCGUGAGUGAAGAAGGUUUUCGGAUCGUAAAGCUUUGUUGUUAAGGAAGAAUGAGUGUGAGAAUGGAAAGUUCAUGCUGUGACGGUACUUAACCAGAAAGGGACGGCUAACUACGUGCCAGCAGCCGCGGUAAUACGUAGGUCCCGAGCGUUGUCCGGAUUUAUUGGGCGUAAAGCGAGCGCAGGCGGUUAGAAAAGUCUGAAGUGAAAGGCAGUGGCUCAACCAUUGUAGGCUUUGGAAACUGUUUAACUUGAGUGCAGAAGUGGAGAGUGGAAUUCCAUGUGUAGCAGUGAAAUGCGUAGAUAUAUGGAGGAACACCGGUGGCGAAAGCGGCACUCUGGUCUGUAACUGACGCUGAGGCUCGAAAGCGUGGGGAGCGAACAGG